RNAcentral lists this unclassified non-coding RNA (220 nucleotides) under Hevea brasiliensis (rubber tree). The record is from RNAcentral. Lineage: Eukaryota; Viridiplantae; Streptophyta; Magnoliopsida; Malpighiales; Euphorbiaceae.
GGACCCUUUUGCUGGUUUUCCCUUUGCGAGCAGAAGGUCGCGGAGCUAAUUCUUUUGGGGUUACUACGUGACCUUUAUUUAACCCAACAAAUAGGCCCGUAUUUGGAGCCAUCACCUCUAGACGAAUAGCAGUAACGAGGAUCUGGGGCGGGUUGUGACACAGAAACUAGGGUUUGGGUUUCCUAUUCCUUUUAUAUGUUGACACGAAAAUCCUUAGGGC